Molecule: non-coding RNA, 23 nt
Filed under: Gallus gallus (chicken)
Lineage: Eukaryota; Metazoa; Chordata; Aves; Galliformes; Phasianidae
Also listed under: 1 other name
Source: RNAcentral
ACAGAUGAUGAACUUAUUGACGG